UACGGUCAUAUUACAUUGAAACACCGAUUCCCGUACCGUCCUCGAAGUUAAGCAAAGUCUAGCCUGGUCAGUACGUAGAUGGGUAACCGUUUGGGAAAUACCAGCUGCUGUAAG
Acanthosepion pharaonis is the source of this 114-nucleotide non-coding RNA. The record is from the annotation of a GenBank genome assembly. NCBI's taxonomy places the organism in Eukaryota, Metazoa, Mollusca, Cephalopoda, Sepiida, Sepiidae.